UUCAACGCCGGAAAUCUCACCGGGGGCGACAGCAAUAUGAAGGUCAGGCUGAAGACCUUACCCGAUUAGCUGAGAGGUGGUGCAUGGCCGUCGUCAGUUCGUACUGUGAAGCAUCCUGUUAAGUCAGGCAACGAGCGAGACCCACGUCCACAGUUGCCAGCAUACCCUCCGGGGUGAUGGGUACACUGUGGAGACCGCCGCUGCUAAAGCGGAGGAAGGAGUGGGCAACGGUAGGUCAGUAUGCCCCGAAUCUCCCGGGCUACACGCGGGCUACAAUGGUUGGUACAAUGGGCAUCUACCCCGAAAGGGGAAGGAAAUCUCUUAAAGCCAAUCGUAGUUCGGAUUGAGGGCUGCAACUCGCCCUCAUGAAGCUGGAAUCCGUAGUAAUCGCGUUUCAACAGAACGCGGUGAAUACGUCCCUGCUCCUU
Molecule: ribosomal RNA, 428 nt
Filed under: uncultured Methanosaeta sp.
Lineage: Archaea; Methanobacteriati; Methanobacteriota; Methanomicrobia; Methanotrichales; Methanotrichaceae
Description: bacterial SSU rRNA
Rfam family: Archaeal small subunit ribosomal RNA
Source: RNAcentral